RNAcentral lists this ribosomal RNA (260 nucleotides) under uncultured bacterium. RNAcentral describes it as "partial 16S ribosomal RNA". It matches the Rfam family "Bacterial small subunit ribosomal RNA", at positions 524 to 776 of the family's 1533-position model. The record is from RNAcentral.
UACGUAGGUGGCAAGCGUUGUCCGGAAUUAUUUGGGCGUAAAGCGCGCGCAGGCGGCCUCUUAAGUCUGAUGUUGAAAGCCCCCGGCUCAACCGGGGAGGGCCAUUGGAAACUGGGAGGCUUGAGUAUAGGAGAGAAGAGUGGAAUUCCACGUGUAGCGGUGAAAUGCGUAGAGGAUGAUGGAGGAACACCAGUGGCGAAGGCGACUCUUUGGCCUAUAACUGACGCUGAGGCGACGAAAGACGUGGGGGAGCAAACAGG